Molecule: ribosomal RNA, 433 nt
Filed under: uncultured bacterium
Lineage: Bacteria
Description: partial 16S ribosomal RNA
Rfam family: Bacterial small subunit ribosomal RNA
Source: RNAcentral
AACGAACGCUGGCGGCAUGCCUAACACAUGCAAGUCGAACGAGACCUUCGGGUCUAGUGGCGCACGGGUGCGUAACGCGUGGGAACCUGCCCUUAGGUUCGGAAUAACUCCCCGAAAGGGGUGCUAAUACCGGAUAAUGUCUUCGGACCAAAGAUUUAUCGCCUUUGGAUGGGCCCGCGUUGGAUUAGCUAGUUGGUAGGGUAAAAGCCUACCAAGGCGACGAUCCAUAGCUGGUCUGAGAGGAUGAUCAGCCACACUGGGACUGAGACACGGCCCAGACUCCUACGGGAGGCAGCAGUGGGGAAUAUUGGACAAUGGGCGAAAGCCUGAUCCAGCAAUGCCGCGUGAGUGAUGAAGGCCUUAGGGUUGUAAAGCUCUUUUACCCGGGAUGAUAAUGACAGUACCGGGAGAAUAGACUCCGGCUAACUCCGUG